UCUAUUUCCAGAUAUCCCAGAAUAUUUCCGAUUUUAAUGGAGAUCGUCGUCUGUUUUAUAAAUUAUCUGUCGGCUGUCUGUGCCAUGUGGUCGAGGAUAAUUUAAAAACAGCGCGUGGGACGUGGGAGUGUACUGUACUCUACGAAAGUUAACCGGUAACGGCGUGAAAGAGAAGCUUCCACACGUCUCCUCUGGUUGGUUGGGGGCAGUCCCCUCCCUUCCCUUCGCUUCCGUUCCCGCCAACUCCAAUCUGUGUCAAUGGAGAAUUCAUUGGUGGCGGUGUUGAUCUUGGUCCUCUGUCUUUUCGCCUCCCAAAUCCGCGUACAAUUCGCCGUCACCCUCACCGGAAAUUCCAAUCACCGCCCCCGACCCCGACCUCCUGAUGUCACUUUGUGCGCCCAGCUCAUUCAGCCCGCGGGAUAUCAUUGCUCCGAACACAAGGUUCAAACAAAGGAUGGUUACUUAUUGGCUCUUCAGCGCGUGUCCUCUCGUACUGGGGAUAUAAAAGAACAGCGGGGUCCUCCGGUCCUCCUUCAGCAUGGUCUCUUCUUGGCAGGUGAUUCAUGGUUUCUGGAUUCUCCAAAGCAAUCAUUGGGCUUCAUCCUUGCAGAUCAUGAUUUUGAUGUUUGGGUUGGAAAUGUGCGCGGAACACGUUGGAGUCAUGGGCAUAUAUCCUUGUCAGAUAAAGAUAAGGAUUUUUGGGAUUGGAGUUGGCAGGAAUUGGCUAUGUAUGAUCUUACGGACAUGAUAUCCUACAUAAAUUCUAUAACAAACACCAAAAUUUUUGUUGUUGGACAUUCACAGGGGACAAUCAUGUCUUUGGCUGCUUUCACUCAACCAAAUAUAGAGGAAAUGGUUGAGGCUGCUGCUCUUUUAUGUCCAAUAUCAUACUUGGAACAUAUCACCGCUCCAUUUGUACUUAGAAUGGUUAACAUGCAUCUUGAUCAGAUGAUUCUUGCCAUGGGCAUUCAUCAACUGAACCUUAGAAGUGAUUGGGGGGUCAACCUCUUGGAUUCUGUAUGUGAUGGCCAUGUUGACUGCAAUGACUUGCUUACUUCUAUAACAGGGGAGAAUUGUUGCUUCAAUAACUCACGAGUGGAUUUCUAUCUUGAAUAUGAACCUCACCCAUCAUCUUCAAAGAACUUGCGUCAUCUUUUCCAAAUGAUUCGCAAGGGUACCUUUUCCAAGUAUGACUAUGGAUUUUUCAAAAACCUGAAGCUAUAUGGUCAGUCGAAACCUCCUGUAUUUGAUCUUGGCCACAUACCCGACUCACUAUCACUAUGGAUGGCUUACGGGGGCAACGAUGAUUUAGCUGAUGUGAUGGAUGUGCAGCAUACUCUCAAGGAAUUGCGGUUGAAACCAGAGUUGCUUUAUCUUGAGAACUAUGGUCAUGUAGAUUUCAUUUUGAGUGUAGAUGCAAAGAAAGAUCUUUAUGACCAUAUUAUUAAGUUUUUUAGGUCACGGGGAAAGUCUAGUAGUUUCUGAAGGGACUGCUUACCAUGUCUUAUAGGUCGUGUGGAACUUGGAAGUCUUUUUUUUCUUCUGGGGGAGGGGGUGAUGUACGGAUGUAUCAGACUUUUUAUGUUCAUGUAUUAUAAAGAAGGAAGAUGGAAGAGGAAAGAUGCUUUAAAUUUUCUAAACCAUUUGUUGGAACGUUCAUCAAAGGAAGAUGGAGGGAGUCGUUUUGGACAGUCGUGACAGACUUGCUUGAAGAACUUGUUGGAGCCUGCGUUGCAAAGAAGCCACGUGAAGGAAAUUGAAACUUUAUCAAAAGACAAGUAGAUAUUCUGUAAGGUUGUCUCCAAAUGGACCAGGC
This is an RNA transcript of Juglans microcarpa x Juglans regia, 1816 nucleotides long. It is a transcript of the gene named triacylglycerol lipase 1, with no coding region annotated. The transcript is spliced from 11 exons. The record is from RefSeq and is a predicted model, not a curated record. Lineage: Eukaryota; Viridiplantae; Streptophyta; Magnoliopsida; Fagales; Juglandaceae.